UAUUAGGUCUGAGCAAACGCACGGUAUGACAGGUGUAGGCAGAGGGAUACACACGCGCGCUCUCUCCCCCAUCACUGAAAGGAAAGGUGAACUGGGGAGUACUCAGGUAGAUUUCGAGUAUUUAUACUCGCCACUGGCCGCAAAAUUUCAAUUCCCCUAGGAAGAACAGGGACGUGACUUGGCAGCGAGAGAGGAAAGGCACCUGGAACUUGGAGUAAGGUGUGGCGGUUCAAGUUUUCCUGAACACGGGAAACGGAGCCCCAGGGCGGGUGCGACACUGACGACAGUAACUUGCCCUGAUCCGUCGUACCUGCGACGGUCGCUGUGUUUGCCUCACGCUGAGCCACACGUACAAUACCUGCUGAUGAAGUUUUGUUCGUUCGGCUCGCGUUAAGCAGGUACAGACUCUCUGCAAGCGGACGCCCAGAAGGAAACUCUACUUCCAAGGACAUCGCAGGAUUUUUCUUCGAUAUAGAUCAAAAUCGUCAUUCCACCCAGACUAAAUGAGACAGUCUUAAUUGAUUGUGAUUAAUUUCCACUGAACCAAAUUAAACUGUACCAGCUACAUCUGUAAA
Long non-coding RNA from Paramormyrops kingsleyae, 575 nucleotides. RefSeq lists it as uncharacterized. The record is from RefSeq and is a predicted model, not a curated record. NCBI's taxonomy places the organism in Eukaryota, Metazoa, Chordata, Actinopteri, Osteoglossiformes, Mormyridae.